This 89-nucleotide transfer RNA is filed under the name Haemaphysalis longicornis (longhorned tick). It matches the Rfam family "tRNA". From Rfam's summary of the family: Transfer RNA (tRNA) molecules are approximately 80 nucleotides in length. Their secondary structure includes four short double-helical elements and three loops (D, anti-codon, and T loops). Lineage: Eukaryota; Metazoa; Arthropoda; Arachnida; Ixodida; Ixodidae. The record is from Rfam by way of RNAcentral.
CCGUCGAUAGCUCAGUUGGUAGAGCGGUGGACUGUAGAGGCUACGCUGUGGAUAUCCAUAGGUCGCUGGUUCGAAUCCGGCUCGACGGA